AGCGAACGCUGGCGGCAGGCCUAACACAUGCAAGUCGAACGGAUCCUUCGGGAUUAGUGGCGGACGGGUGAGUAACACGUGGGAACGUGCCCUUUGGUUCGGAACAACUCAGGGAAACUUGAGCUAAUACCGGAUGUGCCCUUCGGGGGAAAGAUUUAUCGCCAUUGGAGCGGCCCGCGUCUGAUUAGCUAGUUGGUGAGGUAACGGCCCACCAAGGCGACGAUCAGUAGCUGGUCUGAGAGGAUGAUCAGCCACACUGGGACUGAGACACGGCCCAGACUCCUACGGGAGGCAGCAGUGGGGAAUCUUGCGCAAUGGGCGAAAGCCUGACGCAGCCAUGCCGCGUGAAUGAUGGAGGUCUUAGGAUUGUAAAAUUCUUUCAGCGGGGACGAUAAUGACGGUACCCGCAGAAGAAGCUCCGGCUAACUUCGUG
This 433-nucleotide ribosomal RNA is filed under the name uncultured bacterium. RNAcentral's name for it is "partial 16S ribosomal RNA". It matches the Rfam family "Bacterial small subunit ribosomal RNA", at positions 29 to 507 of the family's 1533-position model. The record is from RNAcentral.